This 806-nucleotide long non-coding RNA is filed under the name Junco hyemalis (dark-eyed junco). Its description in RNAcentral is "lncRNA (ENSJHYG00000009298.1)". The record is from RNAcentral. Lineage: Eukaryota; Metazoa; Chordata; Aves; Passeriformes; Passerellidae.
AAAGCAGUCAGUGAUGUACAGCGAUUAAUUAGAACAGUGAUGAUCUAUCUGUCUGAAAGUGUGGUGUGUGUUGACUCUCUCCCCACCUCCUUUCUCUGAGGGAGUGGGGAGGGGCUGUGCUUUCUCUGUGGAGAGGGUUGUUUAGAUCUACUGCAGAUCUAAACUUAGGUGAAUAUACAGGGAUGUAUUUUGAGAUGAACUUGUCCCAGCCAUCCCAGCUCAGACUGAGAAUAAGUCAAAGCUGCUUUUACUCUUUUUGACAGACUUUUUCACUGUGAUUUUUGAGCCACUUUCCAGCUCUGCUCAGCUGGACAGGAUCAAGAGAAUGGCAUCCAAGUAGCAGUGUUCUUCCCUAAAUCUGUAAGCUCUUUUCAGCAUUCCUGUUGUGCAGACUGCUGUUUUGUUCCAACACAGUAUAGUGUGGCAUGGUUGUGCUCAACUGGACUUCAGGGUACCUGCAUUUUCACAUCUUCCUGCAAGAAUGGAUUUGGAGCCCCAUUUUUGCUUGUGCCAACACAGCUAUACUGCCACAGCAUAUGUGAAAUAGCCUCAUCACGUAAACGCUUAACCCUGUUCAUUAUUCGUCUGGUGAAUGCUCCCAGUGCAAGCCAUUGACUGGACUCACAGGUAGGCUUGGUCCACCUUGCAACAUCCAGAAAUCCCUUCCUGAGUUAUGAGCAUGGAGGAGGGAUUCAGAGCUGCUGUUCCCCCAGCAGCUUCGGGGUGUGAAGUAGGACCAGAUGUGAGCUGUUGUGCACACACACAAAACCAGUUUUUCCCUAUCUGACCCUUGCAGCAGCAGAGGC